RNAcentral lists this ribosomal RNA (397 nucleotides) under uncultured bacterium. RNAcentral describes it as "partial 16S ribosomal RNA". It matches the Rfam family "Bacterial small subunit ribosomal RNA", at positions 523 to 918 of the family's 1533-position model. The record is from RNAcentral.
AUACGUAGGGGGCAAGCGUUAUCCGGAUUUACUGGGUGUAAAGGGAGCGUAGACGGCGAAGCAAGUCUGAAGUGAAAGGACGGGGCCCAACCCCGGAACUGCUUUGGAAACUGUUUGGCUGGAGUGCGGGAGGGGUAAGCGGAAUUCCUAGUGUAGCGGUGAAAUGCGUAGAUAUUAGGAGGAACACCAGUGGCGAAGGCGGCUUACUGGACACUAACUGACGCUGAGGCACGAAAGCAUGGGGAGCAAACAGGAUUAGAUACCCUGGUAGUCCAUGCCGUAAACGAUGAUUACUAGGUGUAGGGGGUAUCGACCCCUUCUGUGCCGGAGUUAACACAAUAAGUAAUCCACCUGGGGAGUACGGCCGCAAGGUUGAAACUCAAAGGAAUUGACGGGG